This 233-nucleotide ribosomal RNA is filed under the name uncultured bacterium. Its description in RNAcentral is "partial 16S ribosomal RNA". It matches the Rfam family "Bacterial small subunit ribosomal RNA", at positions 118 to 334 of the family's 1533-position model. The record is from RNAcentral.
UAAACAACCUGCCUUCAGGAUGGGGACAACAGACGGAAACGACUGCUAAUACCGAAUAAGUUCCAAGGGCCGCAUGGCCCAUGGAAGAAAAGGUGGCCUCUACCUGUAAGCUAUCGCCUGAAGAGGGGUUUGCGUCUGAUUAGCUGGUUGGAGGGGUAACGGCCCACCAAGGCGACGAUCAGUAGCCGGUCUGAGAGGAUGAGCGGCCACACUGGAACUGAGACACGGUCCAG